Molecule: ribosomal RNA, 396 nt
Filed under: Triticum aestivum (bread wheat)
Lineage: Eukaryota; Viridiplantae; Streptophyta; Magnoliopsida; Poales; Poaceae
Description: partial small subunit ribosomal RNA
Source: RNAcentral
AUGCGAGUAAAUCGUCUAUUAAAGAGACGGGGAUUCUCAGAUCCAGAUCACACCAUCUUCCCACAGCGAGUAUCCAUCGGAGCGCGCCCGGAAAAAAUCCAUUCCAACAUGGCCGGCCAUCGGAGCUUCUCCUCUCGCUCCCGUAGCCCUAAGCCCGGUAAUUGGAAGAAGUGUUCCAUCCCCCACAGCCAAUUAGUAGAGUUACAGACCCAGGGAUUUCUCCCUCCAGCGUAUAUGGUACUCGUUCGAGCCGGGCUCGCCACCUACAAUGGCGGGGAGCAAGUGGAGAGCUUUCCCAACCCAUCCAUGGGGGAGCGGGUAUGCCUUGUCCCUUACUUAUUAAGAGGGCUUGGAUUCCCAAUUCAUCCAUUCCUCCGUGGGCUCCUGGAGUUCUAA